UACGUAGGGUGCGAGCGUUGUCCGGAAUUAUUGGGCGUAAAGGGCUCGUAGGCGGUUUGUCGCGUCGGGAGUGAAAACCUCGGGCUUAACUCGGGGCUUGCUUUCGAUACGGGCAGACUGGAGGUAUGCAGGGGAGAACGGAAUUCCUGGUGUAGCGGUGAAAUGCGUAGAUAUCUGGAGGAAUACCGGUGGCGAAGGCGGCAUCCUGGACCAUUACUGACGCUGAUGCGCGAAAGCUAGGGGAGCAAACGGG
This 253-nucleotide ribosomal RNA is filed under the name uncultured bacterium. RNAcentral describes it as "partial 16S ribosomal RNA". It matches the Rfam family "Bacterial small subunit ribosomal RNA", at positions 524 to 776 of the family's 1533-position model. The record is from RNAcentral.